CCUGUGUUGGGGACAGGGAGUUUAGGGGUUUUCCCCUCUGUGCCCCACACACAGCCCAGCUCCCCCUCCCUCUCUGACCCUCCUGCCGCCCACUUCCCCUGUCUGCCCUGCUCCCGCCCCGAUCCCCCCACCCCCGGGGUGCCCGGGAGGGAGCUGCCCUCGCUGCCCGGAGCGCGUAGGGCGCACGGACCGGGCACCCCUGGGCCAGUGGCAGCAGUCCAGGCUCCCCCGCCCCCCGUCCCUCCCCCCGCGCCGCAGUUCCCUGCCGGGCCGGGCUGCUGGGGGCUCAGUGCAGCGCCGCCAGCUCCUGAUGCUGCUGCCAGCGGCAGGGACCAGCCUCUCCGCAGCCGGCUCCGUGCGCCCCGGGACGGCACCAUGAACAGCCUCCCCGCCGACAAGGAGAGCAGCCCGGCCGAGCCCAGCCUGCCCGAGGAGGAGCUUGCCUACUGCAGACCCACAGAGGGAGUUGUGAGCUGGCCAUCGGUAGCUCCCAGUCAACAGAACAAACUUCUGUGACUUCUUACCUUGGGGAUGGUGUCGUGCAGUGACCGAGAGAGAUCUGUGUCAGAUGGGAUUCCUGUUGGCCAGUCAAAUCUCUCCGAGCUCUUUUCUCGCCACCAUUUGGUCCGGACUCUCUUUGUGAGCGGUCUUCCCCUCGACAUCAAGCCGCGGGAGCUCUACUUGCUCUUCAGACCCUUCAAGGGUUAUGAAGGCUCUCUUAUAAAACUCACCUCUAAACAGCCUGUAGGGUUUGUCAGCUUUGACAGUCGCUCAGAAGCAGAAGCUGCUAAGAAUGCGCUGAAUGGAAUUCGCUUUGACCCCGAAAUUCCACAAACGCUACGACUAGAAUUCGCCAAGGCAAACACCAAGAUGGCCAAGAGCAAGCUAGUGGGAACCCCGAACCCGAGCACUCCUCUCCCCAGCACUGUACCUCAGUUCAUUACCAGGGAGCAAUAUGAGCUCACAGUGCCUGCACUUUACCCCAGUAGCCCUGAAGUGUGGGCGCCGUACCCUCUGUACCCAGCGGAGUUAGCACCUGCUCUGCCUCCUCCUGCUUUCACCUAUCCCGCUUCACUGCAUGCCCAGAUGCGCUGGCUCCCUCCCUCAGAGGCUGCUUCUCAGGGCUGGAAGUCCCGUCAGUUCUGCUGAAUACUGUGUAUCAGGUGUGUGAUGGUGGCUACAAUCAGUCUUGUGGGUAUUAAUGGAGCCUUUGAAGGUGGCUACUGGUUUCUCAUGCCCUCCUGCAAAACUACAGUGUGCUGGCUUGAAAAACCUCACACAAGUUUUGAUUCCUUCAAGACUUUGCCACAGCCUCUAUCACACAUCUGCUCUCGUAGAAGAAAAAAAACAUACAAACUAAUGAUGUUUUCCUUUUUUACACUGUAUUAUUGUAAGGAAGAGUGUUACUUGUGAAAGCACGGUCGGACAGUCAUUGCUGUAUAGUUUGAAAAGUAUUUUCAAACAAAAAACAUAAAAAAGCAAACUAUAAAAGCAAAAAGAGAGCAAGUAUUUUUAUACCAGACAUUGUGCGUAUAAUGAUCUUACACCGGGUUAGAUCACCAGUUUUGUGCUUGACUUUUGAAUGCGUGCAAUUAAGAUUCUCUCUUGUUUUUCUUUUUUGUAAGCUGCAUGUUGAAGACGUUUUUAAAUCUUGUUCAGAAUUAAAUAAUUGUAUUGUUAGGUUUAUAGGUAUUGUGCUCAGCCUGGGCGGAGUUAAAAUGUGCUGAACUACAGAUCUGAGUAUAUUUACAGUAUUCGGGUUUUAUUCCCCAGUGUACCAUAUUCUAUCAGGCAGGACAAUCAGAAAACAACUUAGUAUAAUUUUUCUACCUUUGGGCUACAGUUACAGCUUGCAGUGUGAGGCUUUAGUCUAGCAGAGAGCUGUGCAGGAAAAAGCCAUGCAUGGAGCAAGUUGAGACUGUUAUUGAUGAGAGCUCUCCCUGUGCUUUCUUCAUGUACAGAUACAUUUGCUGGGUCACAUCUUUCUUUCCAGGGGCAGGAAGGGCUGGUUCCAGUAACUGCUUGAAAUUUUUAUUGGCAAUGUAAACAGCUGUACUGGGGAAAAAUUGACCCCAAUUCAGCAACACACUCAAGAACAUGCUUAAGUCUAGUUGAAGUGCAUGGGACUUAAACACAUGCUCACAGUUACACUUAAGUGCUUUGUUGAAUUUGGGCCUUAAUGAAUAGUUGAUGCCUGUCCAGCUCCUUGCUCGGUAAUAUACUGGUAUUUUCAAUGCAAAAAUGAAGCCAAAAAGGGAAGCGUUGGCAUUUUCUGCUAACCCUGUUCUUUACUCCAGUCAUUGUCUUGAAGCAAUAUUUGUAAUGUUUACUGAGAAUACUGUACCAGCAACAAGAAGCUUAUUUUCACAGUACAUUCCUUUUCCCCGAUUGCUUUUCACUCUGCACAGGAAUAGAAUAUAAAAAUGAGUCUUUGUUUUCUUGUAAAAGGAUUGACAACUCCUUCCCCCUACAGACGACUCUCUCUCUCCACCCACACGCCCGUAAGGAAUGCUGUGCUGCAGACUGCACUGAUUGGGUCGAGGCCCUGAUUGUUGACAAGUGUGGUGAAAGUGUGCUCACAAGUUUCCCCCCUAGUUUUGUUCACACUGUGCUGAACACGUAGUGAUGUCAGUGUUUUUAUGAUGACAACACAAUUGUUCUUUGUGGAAAUGCAGAUGUUGAGAAUUCCUCAGUCCGAAGACCACAACGGUAGUUGAAAGUUGAAAGAAAAACAUCACUUCUACUUUUGUUUAAACAAAGUGACAAGGAGAACUUGAGAACAAAUUAAAUUCUAAGGCAAAUGUUGAAAUAAAUCUAAACAGAAAUGUAUAAGCAUUCGAACCAAUAGACUAGUUCUUUAGAAAACGGAUUUUCUGUAUUUGUUUUGGGUAAUAGAGGAAAGAAACUUCCACAUUGUCUACUCUGCUUUUUUGAAAUAUGUUUAAAGGUACUUUUCUAUUGUAAUUUUUAAAAAAUAAAACAAUGAUUAUUAUAACUUA
This is a non-coding RNA of Caretta caretta (loggerhead turtle), 2999 nucleotides long. Lineage: Eukaryota; Metazoa; Chordata; Testudines; Cheloniidae. The record is from RefSeq and is a predicted model, not a curated record.